GCGAACGGGUGAGUAACACGUGAGCAACCUGCCCCUGACUCUGGGAUAAGCGGUGGAAACGCCGUCUAAUACCGGAUACGACCCGCCACCUCAUGGUGGAGGGUGGAAAGUUUUUCGGUCAGGGAUGGGCUCGCGGCCUAUCAGCUUGUUGGUGGGGUAACGGCCUACCAAGGCGAUUACGGGUAGCCGGCCUGAGAGGGCGACCGGCCACACUGGGACUGAGACACGGCCCAGACUCCUGCGGGAGGCAGCAGUGGGGAAUAUUGCGCAAUGGGCGAAAGCCUGACGCAGCGACGCCGCGUGGGGGAUGACGGCCUUCGGGUUGUAAACCUCUUUUACCACCAACGCAGGCUUCCAGUUCUCUGGAGGUUGACGGUAGGUGGGGAAUAAGGACCGGCUAACUACGUGCCAGCAGCCGCGGUAAUACGUAGGGUCCGAGCGUUGUCCGGAAUUAUUGGGCGUAAAGAGCUCGUAGGCGGCGUGUCGCGUCUGCUGUGAAAGACCGGGGCUUAACUCCGGUUCUGCAGUGGAUACGGGCAUGCUAGAGGU
This 549-nucleotide ribosomal RNA is filed under the name Nocardiopsis dassonvillei subsp. dassonvillei. RNAcentral describes it as "bacterial SSU rRNA". It matches the Rfam family "Bacterial small subunit ribosomal RNA", at positions 98 to 648 of the family's 1533-position model. The record is from RNAcentral. Lineage: Bacteria; Bacillati; Actinomycetota; Actinomycetes; Streptosporangiales; Nocardiopsidaceae.